This 75-nucleotide transfer RNA is filed under the name Bacillota bacterium. Its description in RNAcentral is "tRNA-Val". It matches the Rfam family "tRNA". Rfam says of the family: Transfer RNA (tRNA) molecules are approximately 80 nucleotides in length. Their secondary structure includes four short double-helical elements and three loops (D, anti-codon, and T loops). Lineage: Bacteria; Bacillati; Bacillota. The record is from RNAcentral.
GGGAGUUUAGCUCAGCGGGAGAGCACCUGCCUUACAAGCAGGGGGUCAGUGGUUCAAAUCCACUAACUCCCACCA